Molecule: ribosomal RNA, 754 nt
Filed under: Listeria sp.
Lineage: Bacteria; Bacillati; Bacillota; Bacilli; Caryophanales; Listeriaceae
Description: bacterial SSU rRNA
Rfam family: Bacterial small subunit ribosomal RNA
Source: RNAcentral
AGUGGCGGACGGGUGAGUAACACGUGGGCAACCUGCCUGUAAGAUUGGGAUAACUCCGGGAAACCGGAGCUAAUACCGAAUAAUAAUCAGCUCCGCAUGGAGCGGGUUUGAAAGGCGGCUUCGGCUGUCACUUACAGAUGGGCCCGCGGUGCAUUAGCUAGUUGGUGGGGUAAAGGCCUACCAAGGCGACGAUGCAUAGCCGACCUGAGAGGGUGAUCGGCCACACUGGGACUGAGACACGGCCCAGACUUCUACGGGAGGCAGCAAUAGGGAAACUUCCGCAAUGGACGAAAGUCUGACGGAGCAACGCCGCGUGUGUGAAGAAGGUUUUCGGAUCGUAAAGCACUGUUGUUAGAGAAGAACAAGGAUAAGAGUAACUGCUUGUCCCCUGACGGUAUCUAACCAGAAAGCCACGGCUAACUACGUGCCAGCAGCCGCGGUAAUACGUAGGUGGCAAGCGUUGUCCGGAUUUAUUGGGCGUAAAGCGAGCGCAGGCGGUUUCUUAAGUCUGAUGUGAAAGCCCCCGGCUUAACCGGGGAGGGUCAUUGGAAACUGGGAGACUUAGAGUGCAGAAGAGGAGAGUGGAAUUCCAUGUGUAGCGGUGAAAUGCGUAGAUAUAUGGAGGAACACCAGUGGCGAAGGCGACUCUCUGGUCUGUAACUGACGCUGAGGCGCGAAAGCGUGGGGAGCAAACAGGAUUAGAUACCCUGGUAGUCCACGCCGUAAACGAUGAGUGCUAAGUGUUAGGGGGUUU